UACAGGCUUAACACAUGCAAGUCGAGGGGAAACGAUAGAGAAAGCUUGCUUUUUCUAGGCGUCGACCGGCGCACGGGUGAGUAACGCGUAUCCAACCUGCCCAUCACUUGGGGAUAACCUUGCGAAAGUAAGACUAAUACCCAAUGAGGUCUCUAGAAGACAUCUGAAAGAGAUUAAAGAUUUAUCGGUGAUGGAUGGGGAUGCGUCUGAUUAGCUUGUUGGCGGGGUAACGGCCCACCAAGGCGACGAUCAGUAGGGGUUCUGAGAGGAAGGUCCCCCACAUUGGAACUGAGACACGGUCCAAACUCCUACGGGAGGCAGCAGUGAGGAAUAUUGGUCAAUGGGCGAGAGCCUGAACCAGCCAAGUAGCGUGCAGGAUGACGGCCCUAUGGGUUGUAAACUGCUUUUAUAAGGGAAUAAAGUGGGAGUCGUGACUCCUUUUGCAUGUACCUUAUGAAUAAGGACCGGCUAAUUCCGUGCCAGCAGCCGCGGUAAUACGGAAGGUCCGGGCGUUAUCCGGAUUUAUUGGGUUUAAAGGGAGCGUAGGCCGGAGAUUAAGCGUGUUGUGAAAUGUAGACGCUCAACGUCUGCACUGCAGCGCGAACUGGUUUCCUUGAGUACGCACAAAGUGGGCGGAAUUCGUGGUGUAGCGGUGAAAUGCUUAGAUAUCACGAAGAACUCCGAUUGCGAAGGCAGCUCACUGGAGCGCAACUGACGCUGAAGCUCGAAAGUGCGGGUAUCGAACAGGAUUAGAUACCCUGGUAGUCCGCACGGUAAACGAUGGAUGCCCGCUGUUGGUCUGAAUAGGUCAGCGGCCAAGCGAAAGCAUUAAGCAUCCCACCUGGGGAGUACGCCGGCAACGGUGAAACUCAAAGGAAUUGACG
This 884-nucleotide ribosomal RNA is filed under the name uncultured bacterium. RNAcentral's name for it is "bacterial SSU rRNA". It matches the Rfam family "Bacterial small subunit ribosomal RNA", at positions 41 to 915 of the family's 1533-position model. The record is from RNAcentral.